This 422-nucleotide ribosomal RNA is filed under the name uncultured bacterium. RNAcentral's name for it is "partial 16S ribosomal RNA". It matches the Rfam family "Bacterial small subunit ribosomal RNA", at positions 361 to 775 of the family's 1533-position model. The record is from RNAcentral.
AUUUUGGACAAUGGGGGAAACCCUGAUCCAGCGAUCCCGCGUGUAUGAUGAAGGCCUUCGGGUUGUAAAGUACUUUUGGCAGAGAAGAACAGGUACCUCCUAAUACGAUGUACUGCUGGCGGUAUCGUCUGCAUAAUCACGGGCUAACUACGUGCCAGCAGCCGCGGUAAUACGUAGGGUGCAAGCGUUAGGAGGAAUUACUGUGCGUAAAUCGUGUGUAGGCGGUUCGGAAAGAAAGAUGUGAAAUCCCAGGGCUCAACCUUGGAACUGCAUUUUUAACUGCCGAGCUAGAGUAUGUCAGAGGAGGGUAAAAUUCCACGUGUAGCAGUGAAAUGCGUAGAUAUGUGGAGAAAUCCCGAUGGCGAAGGCAGCCCCCUGGGAUAAUACUGACGCUCAGACACGAAAGCGUGGGGAGCAAACAG